This 494-nucleotide ribosomal RNA is filed under the name uncultured bacterium. Its description in RNAcentral is "bacterial SSU rRNA". It matches the Rfam family "Bacterial small subunit ribosomal RNA", at positions 30 to 507 of the family's 1533-position model. The record is from RNAcentral.
AUGAACGCUAGCGGCAGGCUUAAUACAUGCAAGUUGAGGGGCAGCAUGAUAUACGCGAGUAUAUUGAUGGCGACCGGCGGACGGGUGAGUAAUAGGUAGGAGACCUACCUCAUACAGGGGGAUAGCAUAGAGAAAUCUGUGGUAAUACCCCAUGAGGUUAUAUGAAUAGAGGCAUAUAAUCAAAGCAUAAGCGAUUAUGCGGUAUGAGAGGGGCCUACUGACCAUUAGCUAGUUGGUGAGGUAAGGGCUCACCAAGGCGAAGAUGGUUAGGGGUUUUGAGAGAGAGACCCCCCACAUUGGAACUGAGAGACGGUCCAGACUCCUACGGGAGGCAGCAGUAGGGAAUAUUGGGCAAUGGGCGAAAGCCUGACCCAGCCAUGCCGCGUGAAGGAAGACGGCCUUAUGGGUUGUAAACUUCUUUACUGCGCGAAUAGAGGUUAGUACGAGAUACUAAUAGGAAGGUAGUGUAGUAAAAAGCACCGGCUAACUCCGUG